GAUGAACGCUGGCGGCGUGCCUAAUACAUGCGAGUCGAGCGAACGGACGAGAAGCUUGCUUCUCUGACGUUAGCGGCGGACGGGUGAGUAACACGUGGAUAACCUACCUAUAAGACUGGGAUAACUUCGGGAAACCGGAGCUAAUACCGGAUAAUAUUUUGAACCGCAUGGUUCAAAAGUGAAAGACGGUCUUGCUGUCACUUAUAGAUGGAUCCGCGCUGCAUUAGCUAGUUGGUAAGGUAACGGCUUACCAAGGCAACGAUGCAUAGCCGACCUGAGAGGGUGAUCGGCCACACUGGAACUGAGACACGGUACAGACUCCUACGGGAGGCAGCAGUAGGGAAUCUUCCGCAAUGGGCGAAAGCCUGACGGAGCAACGCCGCGUGAGUGAUGAAGGUCUUCGGAUCGUAAAACUCUGUUAUUAGGGAAGAACAUAUGUGUAAGUAACUGUGCACAUCUUGACGGUACCUAAUCAGAAAGCCACGGCUAACUACGUG
Molecule: ribosomal RNA, 497 nt
Filed under: uncultured bacterium
Lineage: Bacteria
Description: partial 16S ribosomal RNA
Rfam family: Bacterial small subunit ribosomal RNA
Source: RNAcentral